UCUGAUCCCACUCAGUUUGCUGAGAAUUUUGUCACUGACUACAGUGGAAUGAUGAUCCUGGAGUACUAAGAAAAACAACAUUUGGCAUUGGUGCUCAGGGCAUGCAAUAGUUCAGUCUUAUAUUCUGCACUUUGUGGAUAACUGCUGCAUCAAGGAACCUCUGAAAGCCAUCUGCAACACUACUAACUUGGGGCAGGGUGAUGGAAGUUGGCUGGCUGCAGGUCUCAGCGAUGAUGGGGAAUACCUGCUGGAUUUAGUGGAGAAGGCAAGCUGUAAGCACUGCUCACCAUCCUGC
Alligator sinensis (Chinese alligator) is the source of this 295-nucleotide long non-coding RNA. RefSeq lists it as uncharacterized. The transcript is spliced from 3 exons. Lineage: Eukaryota; Metazoa; Chordata; Crocodylia; Alligatoridae. The record is from RefSeq and is a predicted model, not a curated record.